AGUAAGAGAGGAGACUGAACCACGAACCCUAAAAGCAAAAUCCACCGUUCAAACUCGGUUAAAAAAACUGAAAAUUGUGUCGCAAGAACUUGUAAGUCUAUUUUAAUAACUUUUUUUUUAUAUUUUCAUUUUUUAAUUUACUGAUUAUAUAUUUUUUUAUUUGUUUUCUAGGAAAUCUAAGGAUGUAGAUACUUAAAAAGGCUUUUUUUAAGGGGAAGCUUCAGAUCUGGAAGCAACGAUGGCUGCAGCAAGAGGAACAAGACUAAGCACACUGGUAACACAACCACCGACACCAAGAUCUGCAACCCAGCAGCAAGUAGGCUAUCAAUGCCCCAGAAAUGCAUCCUUAUUGGAGAAUGUUACUCCAGCAAGUUUUUCAGUACCUGCAACUAUGAGAUACAACAAGAGGUCUACUAUGUCACAAGUCUUGAACAAAAUGAAGGAAAGACAAAAGAGAAGUCAACAUGAGUAGUUUAGAAUGACCAGUUUUUUUUGUAAAUGGCCUAUUUUUUUGGUUAAUUGCAUGUUCUUUUUGUAAAUGUGGAUUUUACUAGUAAUAUAGCAAAACUUACCUGUAA
Molecule: non-coding RNA, 578 nt
Organism: Sesamum indicum (sesame)
Lineage: Eukaryota; Viridiplantae; Streptophyta; Magnoliopsida; Lamiales; Pedaliaceae
Source: RefSeq, a predicted model, not a curated record